UUUAGUUUCUAUCCAUUUGGUGAAGUAAUCCAUGACGAUGAGCAAAAAUUUGCACUAGCCUGAUGCCUAUAGAAAAGAACUAAGAAUAUCCAUCCUCCAUUGCGCAAAGGGUCAAGGGGCACAGAUGGGAGUGAUCGGCAUGGUGGGCAGCCAUUGUAUAUUAGAGUUCUUUUGACACUUGUCACACCACCGCACAUAGUUCUUAGAGUCCUUUUGCAAGGUCGGCCAAUAGUAGCCUUGCUUGAGGAGCUUAUAAGCCAGCGCCCUCUUAUCGAUAUGAUUCCCGC
Molecule: long non-coding RNA, 287 nt
Filed under: Elaeis guineensis (African oil palm)
Lineage: Eukaryota; Viridiplantae; Streptophyta; Magnoliopsida; Arecales; Arecaceae
Description: long non-coding RNA (EGUI_LNC046959)
Source: RNAcentral